CUUUAGUUUCUAAAAAUAUACACUAUCUAACGACUACGGCUCUCCCUUUUUUUUCAUAUAAAAGUGAGCCAAAAGAGUUAAUUAGACGCAGGCGAAGAAGAAGGCAAAGGGAGGGACUCGCCCAAUACCAAAGGCAACUCUUGUGAUUCACGAGACUCUCAACAAAACAAAAGGCAAAGGCAAAAGCAAAUCCACAAACCUAAAACCCCAGCUUCACGAGGAUCAUCACAAGAAGUGUUGUAUUAUGAAGCAAAUCAGGUGAUGAAACGACAAGCUGAUAUUGCGUUUUGAAAAGCAACACACUUGCUCCUUGAACGACAUGUAUGAAGGUCUAUUUGGUUUAAGUGAUGCACAAGAGUUUUCACGUGCACGGAUAAGUUGCUUUCUUGGUUCGUUAGAAUCAGUUAAUUCACAUGCCAGUCACGUGGUCUUCUGGGUUCGUUAUUGAUUCGUUAACAAGCUGUUAUAUACAGCUGAUUCUGGAAACAGAAGAGUGGUGUGUGAGAGAGCUAUUGUGAGUUGAGAAGAUUAAAGAAAAAGCUUCAUGAGAGACUCUGUAAUUAGCUUGCUAAAUUCUAUGUAACAGUCAUUGAACAAUAAAUGAAUUUGGUUCUGUUUCUCCCGGGGAUGUAAGUUAGACUGAAGCUAGCUGAACCACGUUAUUUCUUGUUCUUCUCUUAAUUCAUUAUAGUUCUAGAUUCUUUGUGUAUUCUGUUGGAUUGAUUCUUGGUGCAUCUUGUCUAUGUGAUUUGGAUCUUGGAGAAGUGUUUCGGGUUGUUUGUAUAAUUAGUCACUCAAAAAUAUUAUAAUUGGUAUCAGAGGCUGGACUGCAAACCAGACACAAGUAUGGCUGGUUCAAAGAUCGAUCUAGAGAAGUUCACAAGAAAGAAUAACUUCAACAUGUAGAAGGUUAAGAUGGAGGCACUACUGAUCACUCAAGGGCUGGGUGAUACCUUAGAACCAAUCAUCAAGAAAGAGGGAUUGGAAGCCUCCACAUCAUCAUCAUCACUAACACCACAACAAGCUGCUGAGAUUGACAAGAAAGGAAGGAGUACCAUAAUCUUGAGUCUUGGAAACUCUGUGAUCAGGGAAGUUGCAAGAGAAAAAACAGUGGCUGAUCUGUGGGCAAAGCUUGAAAGGGUGUAUAUGACUAAAUCAUUAGCCAACAAACUUUACAUCAAGAAAAGGAUGUUCACAUUAAAGAUGGCUGAAGGAUCAUCUCUUGAAGAUCACAUAGAUGAAUUCAACAAAGUCUGUGAUACACUGGAAAUAAUUGAUGAAGGUUUAGAUGAUGAAGGUAAAACAUUGCUUCUGGUAAGUUCACUUCCAUCCUCAUAUUCAAACUUUGUGGAUGCACUUAUGUAUGGGAGACAAACUUUAUCAUUAGAUGAAGUUAAGGCUGCUCUGAAUAUUAGAGGGCUGCAAGAAAAGUCAGGGAAUAUGAACUCUGGAGAAGUGUUGGCAGUAAAAGCAAGAACUGAUAAGUAUGAUAGCAAGAAAAAGAAGCAAGGGAAUAACAAACAAAAGACUAAAAGCAAGAAGUGCUUUCAGUGCCAGAAAGAAGGGCAUUUCAAGAAAGAUUGCCCAGAAUUAAAAAGCAAGAAAAGGGAGCAAAAUGGAGCUGCUACUACUGCUGAGGAAGAAGGGUAUGAGUCAGCAGGAGUAUGUGUGGCUACAGAGCAUGUGCAAAAAGGUACCUGGAUUCUAGACUCAUAUUGUACAUUUCAUAUGUGCCCCUUUAAAGAUUACCUAUUAAACUAUCAUGAAACUGAUGGAUGAAAAGUUAUGAUGGGUAACAAUGUUGUUUGUAAGAUUGUGGGGAUAGGAAAUGUAAACCUAAAAUUGCAUGGUGGUACAAUAAGGGAACUAAAGGAAGUUAGGUAUGUUCCAGAACUCAAAAGAAACUUAAUAUCUCUAGGUAUGCUUGACCAAAUGGGGCUUAGCAUUAAGCUUGAAUCUGGUGAGCUGAGAAUUUCAAAUGGUGAUGGGGUUUUUAUGAAAGGUGACAUGAUUCAAAAGUGUAUUACUCUCAAGUAUAAGAGUGUAUAGUUAUAAUAUAACCUGGUGAGACAGGGGUCGAACCACAGGGAGUUUAAAUCUAGUAAAACUAAGAAAAUUAAUUGUGGGAAAAAGAAAUUAUUUGAAAUUAAUUUAAAAAUAAGCUAAGGUUUAGGAUCCACUCUCUGUAUUCAAACUAUAAUUUUAAUACUCUCUCAUUUAUAUUUUGCCUCACUUUUACCAAUUAAUUAUUAUAUCAUUUAAUUCUAUGUGUGUGGAUAAAUAUAGAAUAAAGUAUCUAAUGUGCCACAUUAUAUUAAUGUGUCGACAGUAUGUCAAAAUACUAUAAAAUCCAGUGAGAUUUAUAAAUUAACAUGACAUAAAAAUAUUUAGAAAAGAAUUAAAUAAACUUAAAAACUCAUUUGAGAAAAUAAUAUUUAAUAGUUUAAAACAUUGAGCUUUAUCUUUCACCUCAGCUUAAUAAAAUUAGCUACUCAUAUUGAAAGAAAACACAACACUCUUUUUAUUUGAUAAACUUUUUGAAAUAUAUUAUAAAGAAAAUUGAUACAAACGGAAAUAAGAAAAAAAAGAAACAAAGAAACAAAGAAAAUCUUUAGUCUCAACUUCAGCUCUCGAAUUAGCUCUCUCCGCUCUUGAAAAAAUCCACCCCCUAACUUGCAUCCCCUUACUUUUUACAGGCAAGGGAGUCGUCUUGUUUUAUUUUAUUUUAUUUUCAUAUUAUAGNNNNNNNNNNNNNNNNNNNNNNNNNNNNNNNNNNNNNNNNNNNNNNNNNNNNNNNNNNNNNNNNNNNNNNNNNNNNNNNNNNNNNNNNNNNNNNNNNNNNNNNNNNNNNNNNNNNNNNNNNNNNNNNNNNNNNNNNNNNNNNNNNNNNNNNNNNNNNNNNNNNNNNNNNNNNNNNNNNNNNNNNNNNNNNNNNNNNNNNNNNNNNNNNNNNNNNNNNNNNNNNNNNNNNNNNNNNNNNNNNNNNNNNNNNNNNNNNNNNNNNNNNNNNNNNNNNNNNNNNNNNNNNNNNNNNNNNNNNNNNNNNNNNNNNNCGGUACAGCAGUUUUUUUUAUUUUAUUUAUUAUUUAUUAUUACAUCUCUUCAAUUGUGUUCCAGUAGUUCUUCUUUAUUCUCACUUUCAAUUCCAAUUCCAUCUUUAUUCCUGAAAAAUAUUUACAAGAUAAAAAUCAACAUAUUGCGAAUUAAUUUAACAUAAAAAUAUAUUUAGGGAGUGUUAAGAUAAUUUAAUAAUAAUGAGUACAUUAAUCAACACUUUAAGUGAAAAACUAAUAAUUUUACCUUAUUAUGUGUUUACUUCUUCCAUCAGAUUGAUGACAAUAAUAAAAUAAAAGUAUAAGCAUUAUCUUCAGCCUAAAGAAAAUUACACUCGCACAAAAUAAUUUAGUAAAAUCCUAUAAAAUGAUCAAUUAUCAGAGCUACAUUAAUCAAGCCAUUUUUAAGAAUGAUACAUCAAACCACAAAAUCUCACGAUUAAGAGUGACUCUCUCAAAAGAAUAUAUAUCCCAAAUUAAUUUGUCACUCAAAAAAAGGUAAAUCUGAGAGAAUAAUAAAACAAUAUCACACGCUCUCACCAAGAUAAAAAAAUAAUGCCCACAACUUAGAAAUAAUAUGAUCUCAAGUCCAAUGAAUUACUAGCAAAUUUUAUUUUUAUUUUUAUGCAUCACCACAUUUUUUAGUCCAUAUUACCAGCUUUUACUUCAGACUAUAGUUCCGAAAAUCGAGAAGGACUUUUAGUAGGACGUAACGUAGGCUAGGGUUAUUACUAACAAAAAAGGUAAUAGGGAAAACAAAAAUAUAUGUUUGAAAAAUAGGGGACCUUGUGGAGAUUAUAAGGUGCUUUUUUUUUUGCUUGGAUUUUUUCUUCUUUUUUAUUUUUUUUAUUAAUUGAUAUAUACAUAUCGUCUUUUUUUUUUUUUUUAUAGCACCAUUAUUAGGAAUACAUAAUCAUCCCUAUUUUUAAACAUAAUUGGGUGAUGGAAAACAUAAAACAUAAGGUGAUACUCUUCAUUGGAGUAGGAAAAUAUGAUAGGUUACCAAAGAAAUUUUUUAUUUUUUUCAAAUGCUCAAAGGGGUUAACUAUGGAUUCUUUAUAAUAGAGUUGGCUAGAAAGGCUCAAACGGAUCAAAGAUGGCCUUCUAUCAUCUUUUAGGGUUCCAUAUAAUCUUUCAUAUCCACUAGUUCAAUGGACUUUUAGAUGCGGCUGCACAAAAUAUAUAUUUUUUUAUAUUUAGAUCUUGUACAAUAAAUUGUGAACCUGUAUAGGCAAACAAGGUCACUCUCCAAGGAUAAUAGGCUAAAAAACUCGCUUGGUCUUUUCAGAACAUGUACAUUCCUCCAAAUGGCUUAAUCAAUUUCACUCAUUCAAUUUCUCAAUUUACGUUUCAACAUGCAAAGGGAAAAAUAUAGUGUAACAUAACUCAAAACCAAAGAUAAUACGAAUACCAAAAUUUGAAAAUCAUCAUGUUAUCCAAUGUUAAAAGAUCACACUGAAAAAGAAAAUAAUUUUUUUUAAGAAAACACUAAAAAAUUGGAACUAAUUGCAGAAACUUAAGUAGAUGAUUAAGAAAAAAAAGAAAAAGACUGAAAAUAAAAAGUUAGAAACAAUUUUUUUUUUUGAAGAAAACACUAAAGUUAAGAAGAUGCGUUUCUACACACAUUACAUUAUAUAUUCUACCAUCUUCGACUUAAAAUUUUAUCCAAAGUUAGUCUUUAUAACAAAAAUUAGUAAAAACAUCACUAGGACUGAGAUAUUCCACAAUUAUCAAUUAUUCCCUCCCCCCCUGCUCAAAGUCAUGGGAUCUGGCUUUGGUUUGUAAGCUUGCAAAAGAUCAAGUAACUCAUUAGCAGUAGGAGCACAAAUGAAAAGUUUUUUCGCUGAGGAUUGAAUGAAAUAAUUUUUUAUUGCAUGAUUAAGAAAUGUUAUUAAGCCAUCAUAAAAGUUAUUAACAUUUAACAAACCGAUGAGUUUUUUUAUGGAUAUUCAAAUGGGCCCAAGAAGCCAAUGUAAUUAGCGCCUCCAAAGUUGUAAGGUCUCCUAACAAGAAAAUAAAAGCAUCAGCAUGAUUCAACAUUUCAGAUAUUCUUUCUUGUAUACCUGAGACAACUAACUCUUCUCUAGUUGGUGAGUCUGGUAGACAUCUUAAAGGUUUUAAGGCUUUUGGAAUGAUGCCUAGCACUUGGCUUCCUCGAACGAAAGUAACAAAAUGCGUUUCUAAAGACACUAUAUUCUAUAUUCUGCCAUCUUCGACUCAAAUUUUUAUCCAAGGUAGUCUUUACAACAAAAAUUAGUAAAAACAUCACCAGGACUGAGACAUUCCACAAUUAUCAACUAUUCCCUUCCCCCAACCUGAAGGAGACACUGUCCUCAAUGUCUAAAGAAAGGAGUAGAGUUUAUAAUAUAUCACCUGACCACUGCAGAAAAUAUUUACAAACAGAGAGUUAAAUCUAAUUUACACUUUUUACGAGAGUUAUUGCCAUCGUCAUCAAUUGCCCAAUCCAACGCCAAAGUCAUGGGAUCUGGCUCUGGUUUGUAAGCUUGCAAAAGAUCAAGUAACUCAUUAGUAGUAAGAGCACAAAUAAAGAGUUUUUUCGCUGAGGGUGGAAUGAAAUAAUUUUAAUUGCAUGAUUAAGAAAUGUUAUUAAACCAUUAUAAAAGUUAUUAACAUUUAACAAAUCGAUGAGUUUUUUAUGGAUAUUCAAAUGGGCCCAAGAAGCAAAUGUAAUUAGCGACUCUAAAGUUGCAAGAUCUCCAGGCAAGAAAAUAAAAGUGUCAGCAUGAUUUAACAUUUCAGAUAUUCUUUCUUGCAUACAUGAGACAACUAACUCUUCUCCAGUUGGUGGGUCUAGUAGACAUCCUAAAGGUUUUAAGGCUUUUGGAAUGAUGCCUAGUACUUGGCUUCCUCGAAUGAAAGCAGCUUCAGAGACAAGCUUUGAUAACCCUCGGUCACCUCCUUCAUAUACAAGAUGUAGUUUCCUCUCUGUUAUAGCACGACUAAGAUCUAUGGCUGCCUGAACGAACUCCUUAUACUUUCCAUAGCGAAAUCCAAAAAACACACAAAUGUUCUUUAAUUGUCUGCUUGAAGUUUAUGCCUGCCAUUAGAACAAUUCUAAAAAGAAACAAUUUGUGAAUGCUUGAAAAUGAGCUCUUAUUUAAGGAUCUUAGUGAUGGACAUAAUGAUACACGUCUGUAAAUGGAGUGAUGUGUUUGUCAAAUGACGCGUGAAGCUUUUAGCUUAAUAAUUCAAAGGCAAACAGUCAAAAAGAAAAAGCAAACAGUGAUUAGAUAAAAUAAAAAAAACAAUAAUAAUAAUAAUGCAAAAGAUAAAAGAACAGUAAAAUAAAAGGAUAUUUACUAGUAGUUGUGAUUGUGGCUUACAUCUUCCUCUGGUUUUACAUCCAGUAACGGCUUGAACGCCCUCUAUAGGUCGAGGAUAGUCUUCCCAUCCAGUUUUCUUAUAAACUGGCAAACAAUGUCUUUUAGAGUCAGAUUCCUAAGACUAAACUGUGCACUUUCCUUUUGGAACAACUUCCACAAAUUUUGAAUUUCACGUUGAACAUAUCCACUUGGAUGCGUCUCAAGAGAUCGUAAGAUAUCAUCCAACGAUUCUUUACUUAUGCCAUCCUUAACGAAUUUGAUUUUAUCUUCACGAUUUACAAAAACCAUUCCUAAAGUUUUACAACGUGGAUUUUUGCAAGCAAGUCGUACAUAGUGAGGACAUUUAGAGCCAAGUCGCUAAGCUCUUCUUUUCUUAGCAAAUGUAUUUUUACCAAAAUCAAGCAUGUAGGAAAUGAAUGGAUCAGAAAACUCACCUGCCAAUCGGACCUUUGCUUCAAUUAACCAGUGAAUGUCAGUAGGAAUCCCAUUGAUCAUUAACAAACGCAGUCGUUCACAACGAGCUUUGUAAAUCUUCUUAAGAGCAUUUUGAGGGAGAGAAGGAAAAUGUUGAUGCAAAUUUUGUUGUAUUUCUUCCAUGCUUGACAUUGAGGUUUUAGUUAUUGUGGGAAACUGAGAAUACCGACUUAAAAAGUCACAUAGUACCGUUAUCCACCAUUUACACGGGAGAGUAAAUAAAAACAAAUCAAAUCUACAAAAUCAAAUUAAAAGUAAAAAAGAACAAUAAAAUUAAAAAAACACACAAGGAAUAUAACUCACCUUCGUCCUUUUAUUGAAUCCAGUUCUAAUUACAGAUUAUAAAUACCAUCUUCUAUUUCCUUGAGUUGUCUUUCUAGAUCUUUCACGUGGGAUACUAACUCUGGUGGUUGCAGAUCCCAAAUGGGAUGUAAUUUACAAAAUCGGAGCAAUUUCCUCAGGUGAAAUUUUACAUGAAAAAACAUUUUAAGAUGAUCGAAAAGGAAAUUUCUCAUGGAGGUACUUAUGACAAGUAUAAAAAUUUGGUGAGCUUAAUCCCAAUUGUCAAACUACAUAUAAUUAAAACAAUGCAAUGCACUCCAUUCAAGACAUAGGGAAAAGGAAAAAGAAAAAAAUUAAAUAAUUCAAAUGAUAAAGUAACAGUAAAUCAAAUUCACAAAAUAUUAAAAUGAAAAGGCUUAAUAAAAAAUUUGGUGGGUCAAUCAAAUGGAUUUCAGUAUCUGCUUCAUGUGGUUGGUAUUCCAGAUAUAGUUUCAAUCUUUGGCCAUUAACUUUAAAUGUGACACCAUCCUUUGGAUUCUUAAUUUCUACGGCUCUAUAUGGAUACACAUUUUUUACAACAAAUGGACCAUUUCACUUUGACUUUAACUUCCCUGGAAAUAAAUGAAGACGAGAAUUAUAAAGCAACAUUUUUUGACCAAUUUCAAAUGUUUUUCGAAAAAUUCUUUUGUCAUGAAAAAAUUUGGUUCUUGCCUUAAUAAUUCUGGAAUUCUCAUAUGCAUCAUUCCUUAAUUCCUCAAGUUCAUUUAUUUGCAAUUUACGCACAUUACCAGUAUCAUCAAUAUUUGAAUUAAACGCUUUAAUGGCCCCAAAAUGAUUUAUGUUCAAGUUCUACUGGUAAGUGGCAAGAUUUUCCAUAAACAAGCCGAUAGGGUGACAUUCCUAAAGAUGUUUUAAAAGCAGUACGAUAUGCCCAAAGUGCAUCAAUUAGUCGAAGAGAUCAAUCUUUACGGUUUGGAUUAACUGUCUUUUCAAAAAUUUGUUUUAUCUCCCUAUUUGCUAAUUCAACUUGACCACUUGUUUGAGGGUGAUAAGGAGUAGCAAACUUAUGUGUAAUUCCAUAUUUCUUCAUUAAUGACUCAAAUGACUUAUUACAAAAAUGCUUACCUCCAUCACUAAUAAUGGCUCGAAGUAUUCGAAAUCUGCUCAAAAUAUUUUCUUUUAAAAAGCGGAUUACAAUCUUGUGAUCAUUGUGCCAACAAAGAAUCGCCUCGAUCCAUUUUGAAACAUAAUCAACAGCAAUCAAAAUGUAUACAAAUUCAAAUGAUGAUAGAAAAGGGCCCAUAAAUUCAAUUCCCCAAUAAUCAAAUAUUUCAAUGACAAGGAUGGGGUUUAAAGACAUCAUGUUCGCUUUGAAAUAGACCUUACCAUUUGACAAUUCUUGCACAUCUUACAGAAUGCAUGUGAAUCUUUAAAUAAUGUAGGCCAAUAAAAUCCACACUGUAAUAUUUUUGCAGCUGUCUUUUUUAAAGAAAAAUGGCAUAGCAUGCUUCAGAAUGACAAAAUUGAAUGACCCUACUUACCUCGUCGUCUGGUAUGCAUCUUCAAAAAAUUUGAUCGGAGCAAUACUUGAACAGGUAUGGUUCAUCCCAGUAAAAACUUUUUACUUCUGUUAAGAAUUUCUUCUUGUCUUGGAAAUUCCAGUCACAUGGCAUUUCACCUGUUGCAAGAUAAUUAACAAUAUAGCAUACCAAGGCAUUUUGUUUAUAGAAAACAAAAAUUCAUCAGGGAAAAAAUCAUUGAUGGGUGUUGUUUCAAUUGAAGACUCAUUUGUAAGUCUUGAAAGAUGAUCUGCAACAACAUUUUCAACGCCCUUUUUGUCCUUAAUUGUCAAAUUAAAUUCUUGAAGUAGUAAAAUCCAUCGUAUGAACCUUAGUUUGGCAUCCUGUUUUGACAUUAAAUAUCUCACAGUAGCAUGAUCAGAAUAAACAACAGUAGAUGAACCAAUUAAAUACGAACGAAAUUUAUCCAAUGCAAAUAUUAUAGCAAGUAGUUCUUUCUCAGUUGUAGUGUUAUUCAUUUGAGGACUAUUCAAAGUUCUACUUGCAUAAUAGAUGACAAAGGGCUUACCUUCCUUUUUUUGACCCACAACAGCGCCAACGUCAUAAUCACUAGCAUCACACAUUAGUUCAAAAGGUAAAGACCAAUCAGGGGGUUGCAUUAUUGGGGCUGAUGUCAAAAGACUAAUUAUCUUUUCAAAAGCUUGUUGACAAUCUUCAGUCCAUUCAAAUUGUGUAUCUUUUAUUAGGAGGUUACAAAUUGGUCUAGAUAAGGCACUAAAAUCUUUUAUAAACCUCCUAUAAAAUCCUGCAUGUCCUAAAAAAGAACGGACUUCUCUAAUUGUAUUUGGUGAGGGUAAUUUCGAAAUGACUUCAACUUUGGCUUUAUCAACUUCGAUUCCUUUUGAAGACACAAUAUGACCUAAGACAAUUCCAAAAGUAGUCAUGAAAUGACAUUUUUCCCAAUUUAAAACUAGUCCUUUUUCUUUGCACAUUUCCAAAACUUUUUCUAGAUUAUCAAGACAUGUAUCAAAAGAAUUACAAAAUACAGUUAAAUCAUCUAUAAAAACCUCUAGACAAUUUUCAACCAUGUCACUAAAAAUGCUUAGCAUGCACCUUUGAAAUGUUGCAGGAGCAUUACAAAGUCCAAAAGGUAUUCUCCUAAGGCUAUAGGGAUUUGAUAAUAGCCAGAGUAGCCAUCAAGAAUGCAGUAGUAGGGAUGUCCAGCUACUCUUUCGAGAAUUUGGUUCAGAAAUGGAAGGGGAAAAUGAUCUUUUCUAGUGGCGUCAUUUAAUUUUCUGUAAUCAAUGCACAUGCGCCAACUAGAUGGAAUUCGUGUUGGGAUUGGUUCACCUUUUUCAUUUUUUACAACAGUUAUUUCAGAUUUUUUUGGUACUACUUGUGUUGGACUUACCCAUUUACUAUCAGUGAUAGGGUAGAUAAUUUUUACAUCUAGUAGUUUAAGGACCUCAUUCUUUAUCACUUCUUUCAUAUGAGGGUUUAGUCUUCUUUGCGGUUGACGAGUUGUUUUGGCAUUUUCCUCUAAGUGUAUUCGGUGUGUGCAAAUUAAAGGAUUAAUGUCUUUUAUGUCUUUUAAGGUCCAACCAAAUGCAGUUUUAUGCCUUUUUAGUACAGAUAACAACUUACCUUCUUGAUCAUGUGUGAGCUGAGAAGAAAUUACCACCGGAUAUGUCUGUUGUUCUCCAAGAUAGGCAUACUUCAAUUCUUCUGGUAAGGGCUUUAAUUCGAGCUCUGGUGUUUCCUCUUCAUUUGUUUCUUCAGGUUGUACCGUAUCUUCAAAAUUUGAUUGGUCAUCGUCACCUAUAGGUACCUGUAUAUAAUCAAGUGUAGGGCAUAUGUUAGCAGUAUUAAAAUCUAAUUCCUUACUUGAUUCAACAGAACCAGCAAAAUAAAUUUCCACAGAGUUUGUAAAAUUCUCAUCCUGAAUGUGUUCCUCAAUGAUUGGCUCGAUGAGAUCAAUUUCCUCAUUCUCAUUAUCAUCAUCUUCUUGGUGGUGAGGUUGUUUACACAUAUUGAACACAUUGAGUUUUAGUGUCAUGUUGCCGAAAGAUAAGUUCAUUAAUCCAUUCCUGCAAUUUAUCAAAGCAUUAGCAGUAGCUAAAAAUGGUCGACCCAAUAUAACAGGAAUUUGUUUGCAUUCAUUAGCAAUUGGUUCCGUUUCUAGAACAAUAAAAUCCACAGGAUAUAUGAAUUUAUCGACUUGGACUAAUACAUCUUCAAUUAUUCCUCUUGGGACCUUAGUCGAUCUAUCAGCAAGUAAAAGAGUAGUAGAAGUUGGUUUUAACUCACCGAGAUUGAGUUAUUGGUACACUGAGUAAGGAAGCAAAUUAACACUGGCACCAAGAUCAAGUAAAGCAUGUCCAAUUUUAUGAUCCCUAAUAGUGCAAGAAAUAGUUGGACAAUCAGGAUCUUUGUAUUUCAAAGCACUAUUGGUUGAGAGAGUAGAACUUACCUGUUCUGCUUGAAAAGCUCUCUUUUGCACCUUAUGUUUCCUUUUCACUGUGCACAGAUCUUUCAGAAAUUUAGCAUAAAAAGGCACAUGUUUAAUGACAUCCAGUAGAGGAAUGUAGACCUUAACUUGUUUAAAAACUUCAUAAAUUUCUGGACUGUGGUUUGAUUUCUUUGGCUUGAUCAGUGCUUGAGGAAAUAGGGGUACAAGAGGAGAGUUGGUUAUAUCUUCAUGGUUUAAAGGUUCGACAGACUCUUCCCUAUUAGUUAUUUCUUCAUGGUUUAAAGGCUUGACAGACUCUUCCCUAUUUUCUAAAAUUGAAUCUUUAUUAGUUUCACGAGGGUCCACAAUGUGUUUUUUGACUACUUUACCACCACGAAUGGCUAUAACCGAUUUGACUUGACUCAUAUUUUGGUUUCCUGAAUUUUUCAUUUGAGGAUGUUGUUGACUCUUGGGGUUUAGUUCAGGUUGAGCAGGAAACUUUCUUUUUUCAUGUAUGGUUAUAACAGAUGUAAGUUUGGAGAUAGUUUCUGUCAAAUUGGUUAAGGUUUGCAUCGUUUGGUUAUUGAUCGACUCUUGUUUUUCAAUAAACGAAUGCAAUGUGUCUUCCAGAGUUUUUCUUGGUGGUGGGACAUAUGGUGGGUAACUCUAGGAGUUUUGAAAAUUUUGACGUGGAGGAACUAGUUGUGAAGGUUGUGCAUGAUUGUCAUUUCUCCAACUGAAAUUUGGGUGGUUUCUCCAACCAGAGUUGUAAGUUUGGGAGUGUGGAUUUGGAUUUGGCCUUUUGUAAUUGUCAACGACAUUUACUUAUUCAUGCAGACUUUCUCUUAGAGCUGGUAAAGUUAGAUAGUCCUGCGUAGAAUGGUCAGUAGAAUCGCAAACAUAACAUGAAAUAUUUUGAACAGACUUUACAUAAUCAUUUUUUUCGACUCUAAUGCUUCAACUUUUCUAGCUAAUGAUGCAAAUUUGGCUUGAAAAUCAUGGUAUUCCCUAAGGUUAUGCAUGCCUCCACCAGAUGGAGAUGACUGGGGUUUACUAGACGACUCAUAAGAACCAACUGUAUCCCAGUGUUGUGCAUUUUAUGCUAUAUAGUCAAGAUAGUCUAAUGCAUCUUUAGGACUUUUAUCCCUAAACUCACCAUUACACAUCAUUUCAACGACUUGUCUACCUUGGGAUGUUAAUCCCUUGUAAAAAUAAGACACUAAUCUCCAUGUUUUAAAACCGUGAUGUGGGCAAAUGUUAAGUAGUUCUUUAAACUUAUCCCAACAUUGGUAGAGAGUUUCUCCUAGUUUUUGAGUGAAAGUGGUGAUUUUGUUCUGUGGGGUGGGAAGAAUUUUUUCAAAAAUUGUGCUUGUAUUUCAUCCCAAGUUCUGAUGGAUUCUGACCUAAGAUUUUGCAGCCAAGUUUUAGCUUUAUCAUUUAGUGAGAAAGGAAAAAACUUAAGCCUGAUUAUAUUCAUGCUACAAUUUUGAUCAGUACAAGUGUUACAGACUUCCUCGAAUUCCCUUAAAUGCAAAUAUAGAUUUUCAGACUCAAAACCAUGAAAGGUAGGCAAAAGUUGAAUAAUACCAGGCUUGAAAUUAAAACAUGAUGCAUCAGGAGGGAAAACUAUGCAUGAUGGUGACCCUGUUCUAGUAGGAUGCAUGAAGUCUCCAAGGGUCCUAGGUUGUUCAUGAAGAUUUUGCAAGGCUUGGUCAUUUUCAUGCUCUGAAAAAUUUUCAACUCCUAUGUCAGCCAUAUUUAAGGGUGGUGAAGGUGAUUUUCUAAUUAAUCUACCAUUAUUUGUACGAGACCAACGACGCAUGCAAUGCUAAUGAUGUGUGCCAAACUAAUGAUGCAAAAACGCUUAAUGAAAAUUACAGAAAUAAAAAUAAAUUGAAAAUUAAAUAAGUAAAAAAAAUACGAAAUAAAAAUAAACAAACCGAAAAAUAAAUAAAAUAAAUAACUUAGGCGGUGAAACUAGCCAUAAACAAAGAAAUUAAAAGAAACAAUUUAGGCGGUAUUUUAAAACCAGCCAUAUAAUAAAAUAUAAAAUUAAAUUAAUUAAUGCACAAAAAUAAAUAAAUUGAAAUUAAAAUGAUAGGCGGUAGAACCGACCAUAUAAAUAAAAAUACAUAAAUUAACAAAAUUUAAAUAACAGUUAGGCGGUAGAACCGAUCAUUUAAAUAAAUUAGCAAAGUAAAAUUAAAAUGUUAGGCGGUAGAAUCGAUCAUUUAAACAAAAAUACAUAAAUUAACAAAUUUUAAAUAAUAGUCAAGCGGUAGAACCGACCAUAUAAAUAAAUGCGGAAAGUAAAUUGUAGAAAUUUAAAGAAAUAAAUUUGAUUGGGGGACUGAUUUGUAAAGAUUUCUGGGCUAAAAUGAAGUUUCUCACAAAUUUUAUAGAUAAUGUUAAGAUUUGAAAAGAAGAGGGGUGCUAACUGAAGUUUUAGAAAGAGAGAAAAAAAUAGAAUUACGGAAAGAAGGUAAUGUCAAAACAAAAAAAAAUGUAAUAAAAUAAAAAUAAAGUAAAGACAAACUAAUACCAAAUUUAGAAAACUCUCCGGUAGCGGCACCAAAAAUUUGAUACGACUCAAAAGUGUAUUACUCUAAAGUAUAAGAGUAUCUAGUUAUAAUAUAACCCGGUGAGACUGGGGUCAAACCACAGGGAGUUUUAAAUCUAGUAAAACUAAGAAAAUUAAUUGUGGGGAAAAGAAAUUAUUUGAAAUCAAUUUAAAAAUAAGCUAAAAUUUAGGAUCCACUCUCUGUAUUCAAACUAUAAUUUUAAUACUCUCUCAUUUAUAUUUUGCCUCACUUUUACCAAUUAAUUAUUAUAUCAUUUAAUUCUAUAUGUGUGGAUAAAUAUAGAAUAAAGUACCUAAUGUGCCACAUUAUAUUAAUGUGUUGACAUUAUAUCAAAAUACCAUAAAAUCCAGUGAGAUUUAUAAAUUAACAUGGCAUAAAAAUAAUUAGAAAAGAAUUAAAUAAACUUAAAAACUCAUUUAAGAAAAUAAUAAUUAAUAGUUUAAAACAUUGAGCUUCACCUUUCACCUCAGCUUAAUAAAAUUAGCUACUCAUAUUGAAAGAAAACAUAACACUCUUUUUAUUUGAUAAACUUUUUGAAAUAUAUUAUAAAAAAAAUUGAUACAAACGGAAAUAAGAAAAGAAAAGAAACAAAGAAAGAAAGAAAAUCUUCAGCCUCGGCUUCAGCUCUUGAAUUAGCUCUCUCCGCUCUUGAAAAAAUCCACCGCCGGCUUGCAUCCCCUUGCCUUUUAUAGGCAAGGGAAUCGUCUUAUUUUCUUUUAUUUUAUUAAUAUUACUGCUGUACCGUACAUCCGCCUUGGCCGUACAGCAGGAUGGAUUGGAUAUGGAUUUACUUCUGUAAAUCCGUAGAAAUCCGUGAAUCCGCAAAAAAAAAAUUAUAUAUAUAUAUAAUUAAAAAAUUAUAAAUGUGACAUUGCAUAGUUACUAAGCAUUAUAACAUAUCUUAGCCAUUACCCAAUAAUAAUAUAAAAUGAAAAAUAAUUAAAUAAUCAAAUAUACAAAUAAUUUAGAAAAUAAUGAACGCAUUAAUCGACACAAUAAGUGAAAAACUAAUAAUUUUAUCCUUAUUAAAUGUACACUUUUUAGUGUCAAUCAAAAAGUUACAAAAGAAAUGGGGUAUAUGUCUUGGAUGGGGAAGCCAUAACUGGUUUGUCAGGAGUGUCAAUCAGUUUAAGCUGUGAUAACACUUUGUUGUGGCAUCUUAGAUUAGGACAUAUGAGUUUAAAAUGUCUGAAAGAAUUACAGAAGCAAGGGGUUCUAGGCACCAGUCAAAUCUCAGAACUGGAUUUUUGUGAAGAUUGUGUACUAGGCAAAGCUACAAGAAAUAGCUUUGGAAAAUCAGUUCAUUCAACCAAAGGCAUCCUUGAAUAUAUACACUCAGACUUAUGGGGACUAACACAGACAAUUUCACUAGGUGGUAACACCUAUUUCUUGUCUUUAAUAGAUAAUUAUUCAAGGAGAGUAUGGGCUUAUGUCGUAAAGCACAAGGAUCAGGUAUUUGGUAAGUUCAGAGAGUGGAAAUCCCUGGUUGAAAAUCAAACUAGAUUGAAGGUGAAGAAACUCAGAACUGACAAUGGUCUUGAGUUUUGCAAUCAGGAGUUUGAUAACUACUGUGCAGAUCAUGGCAUUGCAAGGCAUAGAAUAGUAAGGCUGACACCUCAACAAAAUAGGUUAGCCGAAAGAAUAAACAGAACCCUGAUGGACAGAGUAAGAAGCAUGAUGAUCUAGUCACAACUUCCUAAAGGAUUGUGGGCUGAGACUCUGUUAACAACAAGCUAUCUUGUAAAUCUAAGUCCCUCUACAGCACUUGACUUCAAAACCCCAUUUGAGAAAUGGCAUGUAAAACUAGCAAACUAUGGCAGCCUCCAAGUAUUUGGAUGUCUAGCAUAUGCACAUGUAAGCCAAGGGAAGUUGGCUCCAAGAGCCCUUAAAUGUAAGUUCAUUGGGUAUCCUGAAGGUGUUAAGGGAUUCAAACUGUGGUGUACAUACCUUAAUCCUCGUAAGUGCAUAAUCAGUAGAGAUGUAAUAUUCAAUGAGAAUACUGCACUGGAAAUGAAGAGAUCUGCUGAUACAGAUGCACAAAAGGAUAAGAAUAAGACCAAAGUUCAGUUUGAGGUGGAGCCCCACAACAGAGAAGCUUCAGGAGAUGAAGAUAAUGCUGAUCAUGAAAACGAUCAAGCAAAGUAGACUGAAGCUCAGCAUUAGGAAUACUAGCUGACAAGAGACAGAGAAAAAAGGAAAGUAAAAGCACCACUCAGAUAUGGAUAUGCAGAUCUGAUAGCCUAUGCACUAACAGCAUCUCAUCAAAUUGAUGAUGAUGAACCCAAGAACUACAAGAAAGCUAUCCAAGGUCCAUACAGAGAUGAAUGGAAAAAGGCAAUGAAAGAAAUCUCCUCAUUGAAGAAAAACAAUACAUAGGAGCUUGUUAAAAGACCUGCAAAUAGCAGAACAGUAAGAUGUAAAUGGAUCUACAGAGUCAAAGAUAGAUUAACAGCUACUGAACCUAAAAGAUUCAAAGUUAGGUUAGUAGCUAAGGGGUACACUCAGAGGGCUGAGGUAGAUUUCAAAGAGGUUUUCUCACCAGUAGUCAAACAUGCAUCAAUCAGAGUACUACUGGCUUUAACAGCUGUAAAAGACAUGGAGCUUGAUCAACUNNNNNNNNNNNNNNNNNNNNNNNNNNNNNNNNNNNNNNNNNNNNNNNNNNNNNNNNNNNNNNNNNNNNNNNNNNNNNNNNNNNNNNNNNNNNNNNNNNNNNNNNNNNNNNNNNNNNNNNNNNNNNNNNNNNNNNNNNNNNNNNNNNNNNNNNNNNNNNNNNNNNNNNNNNNNNNNNNNNNNNNNNNNNNNNNNNNNNNNNNNNNNNNNNNNNNNNNNNNNNNNNNNNNNNNNNNNNNNNNNNNNNNNNNNNNNNNNNNNNNNNNNNNNNNNNNNNNNNNNNNNNNNNNNNNNNNNNNNNNNNNNNNNNNNNNNNNNNNNNNNNNNNNNNNNNNNNNNNNNNNNNNNNNNNNNNNNNNNNNNNNNNNNNNNNNNNNNNNNNNNNNNNNNNNNNNNNNNNNNNNNNNNNNNNNNNNNNNNNNNNNNNNNNNNNNNNNNNNNNNNNNNNNNNNNNNNNNNNNNNNNNNNNNNNNNNNNNNNNNNNNNNNNNNNNNNNNNNNNNNNNNNNNNNNNNNNNNNNNNNNNNNNNNNNNNNNNNNNNNNNNNNNNNNNNNNNNNNNNNNNNNNNNNNNNNNNNNNNNNNNNNNNNNNNNNNUUUUAUUUUAUUUUUUUUUUAUAUAUAUAUAUAUAUAUAUAUUGAAUUGUGUGAUGGUCAGGAGGCGUGAUGGCCUCCUGACCAUCACCAACAUGCUUUUGUUCUUUGGUUUUUUUAUUUUAUUUAUUUUUAUUAUUACAUCUCUUUAAUUAUGUUCCAGUGGUUCUUCUUUGUUCCCGCUUUCAAUUCCAACUCCAUUUUUAUUCCUGAAAAAUAUCUACAAGAUAAAAAUUAACAAAUUACGAAUUAAUUUAACAUAAAAUAUAUUUGGGGAGUAUUAAAAUAAUUUAGAAAAUAAUGAACGCAUUAAUCGACACAAUAAGUGAAAAACUAAUAAUUUUAUCCUUAUUAAAUGUACACUUUUUAGUGUCAAUCAAAAAGUUACAAAAGAAAUGGGGUAUAUGUCUUGGAUGGGGAAGCCAUAACUGGUUUGUCAGGAGUGUCAAUCAGUUUAAGCUGUGAUAACACUUUGUUGUGGCAUCUUAGAUUAGGACAUAUGAGUUUAAAAUGUCUGAAAGAAUUACAGAAGCAAGGGGUUCUAGGCACCAGUCAAAUCUCAGAACUGGAUUUUUGUGAAGAUUGUGUACUAGGCAAAGCUACAAGAAAUAGCUUUGGAAAAUCAGUUCAUUCAACCAAAGGCAUCCUUGAAUAUAUACACUCAGACUUAUGGGGACUAACACAGACAAUUUCACUAGGUGGUAACACCUAUUUCUUGUCUUUAAUAGAUAAUUAUUCAAGGAGAGUAUGGGCUUAUGUCGUAAAGCACAAGGAUCAGGUAUUUGGUAAGUUCAGAGAGUGGAAAUCCCUGGUUGAAAAUCAAACUAGAUUGAAGGUGAAGAAACUCAGAACUGACAAUGGUCUUGAGUUUUGCAAUCAGGAGUUUGAUAACUACUGUGCAGAUCAUGGCAUUGCAAGGCAUAGAAUAGUAAGGCUGACACCUCAACAAAAUAGGUUAGCCGAAAGAAUAAACAGAACCCUGAUGGACAGAGUAAGAAGCAUGAUGAUCUAGUCACAACUUCCUAAAGGAUUGUGGGCUGAGACUCUGUUAACAACAAGCUAUCUUGUAAAUCUAAGUCCCUCUACAGCACUUGACUUCAAAACCCCAUUUGAGAAAUGGCAUGUAAAACUAGCAAACUAUGGCAGCCUCCAAGUAUUUGGAUGUCUAGCAUAUGCACAUGUAAGCCAAGGGAAGUUGGCUCCAAGAGCCCUUAAAUGUAAGUUCAUUGGGUAUCCUGAAGGUGUUAAGGGAUUCAAACUGUGGUGUACAUACCUUAAUCCUCGUAAGUGCAUAAUCAGUAGAGAUGUAAUAUUCAAUGAGAAUACUGCACUGGAAAUGAAGAGAUCUGCUGAUACAGAUGCACAAAAGGAUAAGAAUAAGACCAAAGUUCAGUUUGAGGUGGAGCCCCACAACAGAGAAGCUUCAGGAGAUGAAGAUAAUGCUGAUCAUGAAAACGAUCAAGCAAAGUAGACUGAAGCUCAGCAUUAGGAAUACUAGCUGACAAGAGACAGAGAAAAAAGGAAAGUAAAAGCACCACUCAGAUAUGGAUAUGCAGAUCUGAUAGCCUAUGCACUAACAGCAUCUCAUCAAAUUGAUGAUGAUGAACCCAAGAACUACAAGAAAGCUAUCCAAGGUCCAUACAGAGAUGAAUGGAAAAAGGCAAUGAAAGAAAUCUCCUCAUUGAAGAAAAACAAUACAUAGGAGCUUGUUAAAAGACCUGCAAAUAGCAGAACAGUAAGAUGUAAAUGGAUCUACAGAGUCAAAGAUAGAUUAACAGCUACUGAACCUAAAAGAUUCAAAGUUAGGUUAGUAGCUAAGGGGUACACUCAGAGGGCUGAGGUAGAUUUCAAAGAGGUUUUCUCACCAGUAGUCAAACAUGCAUCAAUCAGAGUACUACUGGCUUUAACAGCUGUAAAAGACAUGGAGCUUGAUCAACUGGAUGUCAAGACAGCCUUUCUGCAUGGAAGAUUACAUGAUGAUAUCUUAAUGACACAACCUGAAGGGUACACAAGUCCAGAAUCUGCUGACUGUGUGUAUCUGCUGAAGAGGUCACUGUAUAGGCUGAAACAAUCACCCAGACAGUGGUAUCUUAGAUUUAAUGAGUUUAUGGUCACUCAUGGAUAUCUAAGAUGCAGCAAUGAUGUAUGUGUUUACUACAAGAUCAUAAAAUCAUGAAACUACAUAUAUCUGUUGUUAUAUGUAGAUGAUAUGUUGAUUGCCUAUAGUGAAAUAAGAGAGAUUGAAGCUUUGAAGUAGCUGCUCAAUUCAUAAUUCGAUAUGAAAGACUUGGGUCCAACUAAGAAGAUUUUGGGUAUGGAAAUAAUAAGGAACAUGAAGAAGGGUACUAUGAUUCUGUCUCAAAUAAAGUAUCUAGAGAAGGUACUUGGAACUUUUAGGAUGUCAAGCAGCAAGUCAGUAGUAACCCCUCUAGCAUCUCAUUUCAACCUGUCUUGUUCACAAUGUCCCAGUACAGAUGAAGAGAGAAGUGAAAUGAUAAAAGUUCCUUAUGCAAGUGUUGUUGGUUGCAUGAUGUAUGCAAUGGUACUUACAAGACUAGACUUAACUCAUGCUUUAAGUGUUGUAAGUAGGUUUAUGGCUACACUUGGAAAGGAACACUGGAAGGCUGUUGAAUAGGUGCUGAGGUAUUUGAAUGGUACACAAAAGUAUGGCCUGGUAUAUGGAAAAUCAGCUGGAAAGGUUGUAGGUCUCUGUGGUUAUGUUGACUCAGACUUUGCUGGGGACUUAGACAGAAAGAGAUCUUUACCUGGUUAUCUGUUCUUCUUGGAUGGUUGCCUUGUAAACUGAAAAGCAAGUUUGCAGCAUGUUGUUACCUUGUCAACAACAAAGGCUGAAUACACUGCUGCAACAGAAGCUGUCAAAGAGGCUCUGUGGCUGAGAGGGUUGAUAACAGAACUGGGAAUGAAGCAGGAGAUUGUUGAAGUUCAUUGUGACAGCUCAAGUGCAAUUUACUUGAGUAAGAACCCAGCCCACCAUGAAAAAACUAAAUACAUAUAUAUCAAGUUACAUUUCAUCAGAAAUGUAAUCUCAAAAAGUGUGAUUAGUAUGGUGAAAGUGCAUACAGAAGAUAAUCCUGCUGACAUGCUUACUAAAGUCGUAACUAUAGCUAAGUUCAAGAGUUGCUUGGAUAAAGCUGGGCUGAGUGAUUUCUAAAAUACUCAGGUUGGAGAAAUCAGGAUUAAGGAGUGAUUUGUUCAAGGUAGAGAAUUGUUGUAUUAUGAAGCAAAUCAGUUGAUGAAACGACCAGCUGAUGUUGCGUUUUGGAAAGCAACACACUUGCUCCUUGAACGACAUAUAUGAAGGUCGUUUUGGUUUAAGUGAUGCACGAGAGUUUUCACGUGCACGGAUAAGUUGCUUUCUUGGUUCGUUAGAAUUAGUUAAUUCACAUGCCAGUCACGUGGUCUUUUGGGUUCAUUACUGAUUCAUUAACAAGCUGUUAUAUACAGCUGAUUCUGGAAAUAGAAGAGUGGUGUGUGUGAGAGCUAUUGUGAGUUGAGAAGAUUAAAGAAAAA
This 20437-nucleotide long non-coding RNA is filed under the name Citrus sinensis (sweet orange). RNAcentral describes it as "long non-coding RNA (CSIN_LNC005306)". Lineage: Eukaryota; Viridiplantae; Streptophyta; Magnoliopsida; Sapindales; Rutaceae. The record is from RNAcentral.